CCUACGGGAGGCUGCAGUGAGGAAUAUUGGUCAAUGGGCGCGAGCCUGAACCAGCCAAGUAGCGUGAAGGAUGACUGCCCCACGGGUUGUAAACUUCUUUUAUAAGGGACUAAAGUGAGGCCCGUGCGCCUUUUUUCAUGUACUUUAUGAUUAAGGAUCGGCUAAAUCCGUGCCAGCAGCCGCGGUAAUACGGAGGAUCCGAGUGUUAUCCGGAUUUAUUGGGGUUAAAGGGUGCGUAGGCGGCAUUGUAAGUCAGCGGUGAAAGUCUAUGGCUCAACCAUCGGAUUGCCGUUGAAACUGGGGGGCUUGAGUAUUGUAGAGGCAGGCGGAAUGCGUGGUGUAGCGGUGAAAUGCUUAGAUAUAACGCAGAACCCCGAUUGCGAAGGCAGACUGCCAGGCCAUGACUGACGCUGAUGCACGAAAGCGUGGGGAUCAAACAGGAUUAGAUACCCCGGUAGUC
This 460-nucleotide ribosomal RNA is filed under the name uncultured bacterium. Its description in RNAcentral is "partial 16S ribosomal RNA". It matches the Rfam family "Bacterial small subunit ribosomal RNA", at positions 338 to 795 of the family's 1533-position model. The record is from RNAcentral.